Non-coding RNA from Physcomitrium patens, 1959 nucleotides. NCBI's taxonomy places the organism in Eukaryota, Viridiplantae, Streptophyta, Bryopsida, Funariales, Funariaceae. The record is from RefSeq and is a predicted model, not a curated record.
CUUUCGUUUCGGCGUAGCGCGAGGUUUAGGGUUUAAGCCGAGAGCUGAAGGAUUUCGUCGCAGCGUUGUUCACCAUGGCGGAGCAGGACGCGAUCGGGGCUGCGGCCUUGCGCGACAUGAAGCAGGGACUCGAUGAAAUCACUGAAAAAUUACGGCUACUUACUGAGGAAGUGAGGUCAGGUCAGUUGCCCACCAAGAAUGGCAUCAGUUAUCUCGAAGUGAAGCACCUGCUUCUGUUUAGCUAUUGUGAAACCCUCGUCUUCUACAUGCUUUGUAAAAGUGAAGGUCGCAGCAUCCAGGACCACCCUCUCUGGCAACGCCUGGCCGAAAUCAAAUUCGUUCUAGAAAAGAUUCGUCCCAUUGAUAAAAAAUUAGAAUAUCAAAUAGACAAAUUGUUAAGGGCAGGUCAGACUCCAGCAGGAGAUGCCACAGGAGAUGAAGUUGGGAAAGAAGACGCGCUGGCUUACAAGCCAAACCCCGACAUGCUCGUAUCAAAGCUGGACCAGAUGGCGGAGGAUGGUGGAGGAGUUUACAGACCUCCCAUGAUAGCCCCUGCAGCCAUGGAAGAGAAUGGUACUGGCCGUGAUCGGCGUUCAAAAGCUCGAGCUGAGAAAGAUAUGGCACGGCGUGCAGCCCGUAGUUCUUUCAUUAAAGAACUGGCCAACGAAGUGGAAGGCAGACCUGAGGAGGUGCGCGAGACUUUGGGUACUGAGAACAAGGAAAUGCUGAGAGAUAUAGCACGUUUGGAGAAACGUGCAGAGCAGGAAGAAGAACUCUUUGCUCGUGUACCAUUAAACAGAGAAGAGCGUAGGAAGGUCAAGAACUUGAAGAAAGGACGAAGCGGGCUGUUGGGUAUGCUCGAUGAUUUUGAAGAUGAUGUUGUUGGUCUUACAAAUAUGGAUGAAGUACCACAGCAUCAGUCAAAUUGGCCCUCAAGUGGCAAGUCUCCAAAGAAGAAAUCAAAGUACAAUGGUAAUGACAAUGAUGCUCCCGAGGACUUUGGAGAACGACCCAGAAAACAGAAAGCUAACAGGAAAACUUCUGGUUUCAAAUGACGAUACCAGCCAUCAGCUCCUUGGUUAUAUUCUCGAUCACCAUUGCCCUCGCUACUAGAUUUGGUCCAGAAUUUUGGCGAUAUUUAUUGGUUGGAAUCUAACUAGUCAAGUCAAGUCGGAGUUCAUUUUUGUAGUUCAAUGAGGUGAUCCAGGUGACACACAUCGAUAUGUCAAGGAAUGCUGACAUGAAAUAUGUACUCUUGAUAUGCUGGUAUAAGAAAAGAAUUGCUUUAGAAGGCAGCGUAUGCCAGGUUUAGUUCUAGCGGCCUUUCAGAGUGAGUACUCAGAGAUCGGGCUGUUCUUUUCAAGUUCUUUUCGUAGUGAUUAUCAUAUUUAGGUGUCUCAACGGAAAUCGUCUCAAAACAGCAUUUGGGCCCAAAUACUAACGCGAGGACCUCAGCUUUCACAGAUCAUAUGCUUCACUCCUCUACACAAAGAAUCGUGUCGUCCACCACGAGAAGGCUGCACGAUUCCCGAAAGGAUGAUUUUGUUCGAGAUGGAAGACUGCCUGGCGAACCAUAUUCACAGGCAUGAGGAGCUUCAGAUUACAGGGUGUUAAUCGAAUGCUGAGGAAAUGAGUGAGACUCCACACUUCGUCAUGUUCUUCAGAUCAAAUUUGCACAGCAAUAUUUGUUCUCUGAUGCUGUCUACAAUCGAACUGUUUCCAACUUUCCCUCAACCAUCCUUCAGUUACCCUUAUUGGACCACUAUUUGAUCCAACUUUCCCUCAACCAUCCUUCGGUAACCCUUAUUAGUCCACCAUUUGAUGGGAUCCAGGUAUCAUUACAAUUCAGAAAACCUUUCUCAUACCUAAUUACUCUUCUUUCUUUCUAUGUCACUCAUGUAACAAAAUAAGAUUAUAUAUAUAUAUAUAUAUAUAUAUACAAUAUUGUUAAUGCCAUUA